UACGGAGGGUGCAAACGUUGCUCGGAAUCACUGGGCGUAAAGCGCACGUAGGCGGUCCGAUAAGUCGGAUGUGAAAGCCCUGGGCUCAACCUAGGAAGUGCAUUCGAAACUGUCGGACUUGAGUACGGGAGAGGGUUGCGGAAUUCCCGGUGUAGAGGUGAAAUUCGUAGAUAUCGGGAGGAACACCAGUGGCGAAGGCGGCAGCCCGGACCGAUACUGACGCUGAGGUGCGAAAGCGUGGGGAGCAAACAGG
RNAcentral lists this ribosomal RNA (253 nucleotides) under uncultured bacterium. RNAcentral's name for it is "partial 16S ribosomal RNA". It matches the Rfam family "Bacterial small subunit ribosomal RNA", at positions 524 to 776 of the family's 1533-position model. The record is from RNAcentral.